AAGUAGUAAGAAGUUUUUCCUAUAUAUAUAUAUAGCGGCCUUCCGCUUGGUAGAUUUCAUCUUUGAUGUAUUCACACACAUUCUUGAAAACUUUGAAUUGUUUAGUCAAAGACAUUGAAAGCAACUUGUUCAUUGAAUUAAUUAAUUGUUCAAAUUGGUCAAACAGUCAAACACAAGGAGAGAUGCUAUUAAUUCAACGGCAAAGUCUCGUCCCAAAAUUGCCAUGAUAUAAUAAUUUUUCCAAAAAAAGAAUAAAAUGUAUGUGAGAUGAAAUUUUUUAAUGAGAAAACUCGGUAUUGUGGUAAUGAAAUAAAGACUUAUGAAGGAAUAAAGACGCUGAUGAAAUAUUAUUGUACAAUUGGCGAGGAUGCCUCAAUAUAUGACGAUUAAGUCUGAACACAUUUUGAUGAACUUAGAGAGAAAGAUCAAACUAAUUAACCGAAAUAUCGUUUUAAUAUCAAAUGAUGUGUUGGUUUAAGGCCUCUUUUAACUUUUUCGUUCUUUUUUUCUUCAAAAAUAUAUUUCUCUGGAGCUUAACCAAAGAACGCGUAGCAAAAAUAGAUUUUUUAAACUCCAAAAAAUAAGCGUAGAAGGCUAGAUUGUGUAUAUGCGGCAACUAAGGAUUUUCUGUUUGACUUUGCAAUGGAAGGAUAACGGUAAGGGAGUUUUAAUAUUUUUUGAAAGUCCACGGAGUUGGGAAUGUCGGGAGAAGGAAUCUCCGCUACUUUAUCAGGCUUGCUGGAUCGAUGGGAGUUGUUUUUUUUACAGUUUUAUAAUGAGGCACUUUAAGUUGUUGACAAGCAAUACUUCUUUGAGGUGGCUGCAAAUGUGAAUGAUGGCAAAAUAGUUUAAGAGAUGCGAAAGUUUUAACCUAGCAAAGGAAGUCGGCAACUUUCUGUAACGCGCUUUUCUUUUGUGGAGGAGUAUUGCUUUCGAGAUCUUCACUAUUUUUAUUAUCAUUGCUUUGGAGGUUUGGCUUGGUUAGAUCUUUUUCACUUAAUUCCGAAGUGCUCGACUCAGCUACAUACAUUUGUGAAUUUACCAAAUCAUAACGGCCCGUUGUAAGGUCUACAUCCUUUAGGGAUUGAAACGUUGGCUUCACGAAAAUCGGACUAAUCAGAAGAUAAGCGAUAAAAACAGACGGUCCUAAAAAUGAAACAAAGAAGCCGUAUGCACUCGGCUUCUCAUGUGUUACUGGGAAAAUCGAAAUGUAUACAAGUGCACAGAGUGCUAAAAAAUUGAUAAGGACUCCAUAGUAGCUAAGAUAAACGCUUCCAGGAAACUUAUAUGGUAAGACAGUGUCUGGAAUUUUCUGAGCCUUCAUUGCAUAUCGCAAACGGAUGUGAUCGAUAAAAGAAAGUCCCCAAAUUACGAAGGCUCCUCCACCCGAGACAGACAUUAGCCAGUCGAACACAACAGAACCGUCAGGUGCAGCAUUAACGUAAGCAAUACAAGCCAUGGCUAGCGAACACAAGUAUGAAAUUACGGGACGUCCCUUUUGAUCUACACGACCUAGGAAACGUGGUGCCCAUCCUUGCUUUACCAACGCCAUUGCAUUGCGAGACGCUGCGAAUACAGCUGCAUUACCUACAGAGAGAACGGAAACGAGAAUAACAGCAUUGGUGAUAUGUGGUAGUACAUGAAUUCCUCCAUUCUUGAUCGCAAUAAUGAAUGGACUGACAUUACCCAGGUCUGGGUUAUCAUACGGGACUACUAAAGUGAUCAAGAAGAUGGUGAUGAUGUAGAAGAAGCCCAUACGGUAGAACACCUUUUUCACAGCACUUGGAAUUGCACGUUGAGGAUUGCUGGUAUUUCCAGCAGCCGUACCUAUGUUCUCAGUACCCGACAACGAAUAGGCUGAGGAAAUAAAUACGGAGCAAAAACCUUUGAAACCGUUACGAAACGAUCCUGGAUGAUGCCAAUAGUGCGCACCAAUGUAGCCACCUUUUGGAGCAGCUCCACAGUUGAUGAUAAUUGCAACGAAGAAGAAGAUGAUAACAAUGACGACUUUUAAAAAUGAACUAACGAAUUCACAUUCACCAUAGCUACGGGCUCCAAAUGCAUUAACUAAGACAACAUAAGCCAAGAAGAUAGUUACCCAAAUAGCUGGGUUUAAGUGCUGUGUUGUCCAAAAGUCAACUACUUCGCAAGCGGCAGAGAUUUCACUAGGCAAGACGGUCAGCCAUAUCCAAAAAUAUAACCAUGACUGCGCAAAACCAAUGUUAUUAUUUAACAAUCGUCCAGUGUACAUUGUGAUACUACUUUGAUUUGGUAGGAAACAACACAUUUCUCCUAGAGAAAGAAUUAAAGCGAGAAUCAUUGCGCUGAGGAUAAUGAAAUUAAUCAUUAGACUUCCCGGUCCAGCGUUUUUUAAAGAUUUGCCAGUGGAAACAAAAAGACCCGUACCAAUACAGCUACCAAUGGCGAUCAUUUGCAAAUGCCUCGGUUUCAAAAAGUCCUCACUGUUGUGCACUUCAGCAAACUCAUUGUCUGGGCGCAACUUGUAGGAGCGAAAAAAAUCCAAGAAAGAGGUUCCAACCGAUUUUUCUUUGUAAGAUUCAAUUGUUCCGUUUCCAUUGGUGGUACUUGGAACAAUAAUUUCCGGAACUGGCGACUCUAUUUCAUCCAGUUUUUUUGAUUCCGUAAACGAAGUCAUAUUGUAUGAUAAGUUUUAUUUUUUUUUUACAGUUUAUUAAACAACGACACUAAAAAAAAGUAAAUAAAAAAAACUGCACACUAUUCAACUGAUGUUUAUGGGAAAGACGGGGAAAAAAUUCAAAUUGGCAGGUGCAGGUGAUUUUAAAGAGUAAUAAUGGUGGUCGUCAGAAAAUAUGUAGCUUAUAAUUCUUUCUUAAAAAAAUAAAAAGCAAAACAGUGAAUUAAUCGAUAUUUUGGUUGUUUUCGAGCAGCCCUCAAGUAAAUCUCUUUUAAUGAUUUUUACUAUGAAUAUUGAAAACUUUUUGUUCGUGAUGUUUUGCCCAAUCCCUCUUAUUAACAGCCCGUUUAUUAAUUAACUCUAAUUUUAUAAAUAUAGAACUGUAAGAUAUAGUCGGCAAUUUGAUUAGCUGACUUGGUUUUCCUGAGAGACUAACAAUUCUCGAGUUUUGGGAAAGGUGAUUUUGCGCAGGGCGAUCCCGCUUUGGUUUCGGUUGGGAUGUUAGCGAAACGGAUAAUAAUUAACGAGCUGUUGCAAAAGUUCGAUAAACGCUUUCGGUUUUUAUAGAAGCUUGAUUAUGUCAGUAGGAGUAUAAUUAAAAAACAGGAUAAUGUUUGAUUUUUAGAGAUUCUUUUGUGAUGGUUUUAGAAAAUAUAUCUAAAAGUUUGCACCAAUAAUUACCUAGUAGAACUGUUUAGUCAACCUUCACAAUAUUUGGGUCUAAGUGGGGGAUGUGGGAUAGACUAUUUUAGAC
This is a non-coding RNA of Schizosaccharomyces pombe (fission yeast), 3410 nucleotides long. The record is from the annotation of a GenBank genome assembly. NCBI's taxonomy places the organism in Eukaryota, Fungi, Ascomycota, Schizosaccharomycetes, Schizosaccharomycetales, Schizosaccharomycetaceae.